UCACUGCUUGCGCAGGCAGUCUCGCUAGAGUCCCCGGCAUUAUCCGCUGGUAACUAACCACAGGGGUUGCGCUCGUUGCGCCACUUAAGGCAACACCUCACGGCACGAGCUGACGACAGCCAUGCAGCACCUUCGCGGGCGCCCCGAAGGGAAGCUCCGUUUCGGGAGCGAUCGCCCGAGAUUUAGCCCGGGUAAGGUUCUUCGCGUUGCAUCGAAUUAAGCCACAUGCUCCACCGCUUGUGCGGGCCCCCGUCAAUUCCUUUGAGUUUCAUUCUUGCGAACGUACUCCCCAGGUGGUAUGCUUACUGCGUUAACUGCGUCACUGAACCCGAAAGCCCAACAACUAGCAUACAUCGUUUACAGCGUGGACUAC
This 373-nucleotide unclassified non-coding RNA is filed under the name uncultured Bacteroidota bacterium. Its description in RNAcentral is "uncultured Bacteroidetes bacterium contains 16S-23S intergenic spacer region". Lineage: Bacteria; Pseudomonadati; Bacteroidota. The record is from RNAcentral.